AUUGAACGCUGGCGGAAUGCUUUACACAUGCAAGUCGAACGGUAGAGGGGGCAACCCCUUGAGAGUGGCGAACGGGUGAGUAAUAUAUCGGAACGUGCCCAGUCGUGGGGAUAACGUAGCGAAAGUUACGCUAAUACCGCAUACGAUCUAAGGAUGAAAGCGGGGGAUCGCAAGACCUCGCGCGAUUGGAGCGGCCGAUAUCAGAUUAGGUAGUUGGUGAGGUAAAGGCUCACCAAGCCAACGAUCUGUAGCUGGUCUGAGAGGACGACCAGCCACACUGGAACUGAGACACGGUCCAGACUCCUACGGGAGGCAGCCAGUGGGGAAUUUUUGGACAAUGGACGCAAGUCUGAUCCAGCCACUUCGCGUGC
Molecule: ribosomal RNA, 371 nt
Filed under: uncultured bacterium
Lineage: Bacteria
Description: bacterial SSU rRNA
Rfam family: Bacterial small subunit ribosomal RNA
Source: RNAcentral